Molecule: ribosomal RNA, 253 nt
Filed under: uncultured bacterium
Lineage: Bacteria
Description: partial 16S ribosomal RNA
Rfam family: Bacterial small subunit ribosomal RNA
Source: RNAcentral
UACGGAGGAUCCAAGCGUUAUCCGGAUUUAUUGGGUUUAAAGGGUGCGUAGGCGGAUUGAUAAGUUAGAGGUGAAAUGUCCGAGCUCAACUCGGGAACUGCCUCUAAUACUGUUGAUCUAGAGAGUAGAUGCGGUAGGCGGAAUGUAUGGUGUAGCGGUGAAAUGCUUAGAGAUCAUACAGAACACCGAUUGCGAAGGCAGCGUACCGGCGCCCAACUGACGCUGAAGCACGAAGGCGUGGGUAUCGAACAGG